GAUUAACGCUAGCGGCAGGCAUAAUACAUGCAAGUUGAACGGCAGCACAGGUAGCAAUACUGGGUGGCGAGUGGCGCACGGGUGCGUAACACGUAUGCAACCUACCCUAUACAGGCGAAUAACCUUUAGAAAUGAGGGCUAAUACGCCGUAGUAUUACAGAUGCGCAUCUAUUUGUAAUUAAAGAUUUAUCGUUCUAGGAUGGGCAUGCGUCCCAUUAGUUAGUUGGUAAGGUAACGGCUUACCAAGACGAUGAUGGGUAGGGGAUCUGAGAGGACUUACCACCACACCGGUACUGAGACACGGACCCGACUCCUACGGGAGGCAGCAGUAAGGAAUAUUGGGCAAUGGACGCGAGGCUGACCCAGCCAUGCCGCGUGCAGGAAGACGGCCUUAUGGGUUGUAAACUGCUUUUAUACGGGAAUAAUAGAGUGUACGCGUACAUUUAUGCAAGUAUCGUAUGAAUAAGCAUCGGCUAACUCCGUG
RNAcentral lists this ribosomal RNA (484 nucleotides) under uncultured bacterium. Its description in RNAcentral is "partial 16S ribosomal RNA". It matches the Rfam family "Bacterial small subunit ribosomal RNA", at positions 28 to 507 of the family's 1533-position model. The record is from RNAcentral.